GGAAGGUUCUGAUGUGUGUGCAAGUCAGAGAGUCACUGCUCUAGCCUAAUGGAGGUGGAAGAUGGACACACCCUGUCUGACUACAAUAUCCAGAAAGAGUCCAGUCUGCCUUUGGUCCUGUGCUUGAGGGAAGGCUUAUUUGCAAAGCGUACUCUUUUGUUCUGGGGGAAGACCCACGCCUCUUUAAGGAACAGAGCAGACCAUGCCAAAAGCACUUCAAGGCCUUCCUUAUCGCUGUCAAUCUGGCACCCUGUGAAAGCUGCGGGGCCUUUCUACUCUGCUCCAAGCUCCCUGCUCCAUCCAGCUGGUCCUGGAAUCAGCUUUCUCUGCCUGCCUUCGUGUCACCCUCUCCCACCUGAACUCCCUCCCCGGAGCCUUCCAAGCCCACCCUUCUCUUCCACUCUAACCUCCACAGCAUUUCAGGCACUCAUUGACCAUCUCUCUGACAUUGGGUGUGGCACCAUGAUCAUGUUUGGGGGUCCCUAAGCAAACCCUGACACAUACAUGGGCCAUUCUGCCUCCUACCCCCUAGUCCCCAAUGAUAGACAUUGUCACCUAAUGCCUGAGCACCAUGAAAACUGAGGGAAAGAGGAAGAACUGCAUCUUCCUCCUCCUCAGAGGUCUCCGCUGGGGACUGGCUGAUUCCUUUAGGGCCUUAAAACAUUUCCAUUUGCAGAAUGCCCCUAAUAAAAUGGAGAAGUAAAGCUAUAAAUCCUUACCGUAUUAUUUUCAGAGCAAGAAAGAUGGUUACAGAUGGGUGGCAGAUGGGUAGCGAUGGAUGGAAUCAGUCGAUGGAUAGUAAGAAUAGGUCCUGUAGAAAUAAAACACAAGCAUUUGUGUAUUAAUUACUGUAUUAAGUCUGUUUAGACUGCUAUGACAAAGUAGCAUAGACAGGGUGGCUUAAACAACAUCGAUUUAUUAUCCAACAGUCCUGGAGGCCGGAAGUCCAAGAUCAAGGUGUGAGCACGGCUGGUUCCUACUGGGACCUCUCCUUGGCCUGUAGAUGCUGUCUUCUCCCUGUGUCCUCACAUGGUGGUCCCUCUAUGUGCAUCUGUGUCCUCAUCUACUCUUCUUAUAAGAAUUCUAGUCGUAUUGGUUUAGGGCCCACCCUAGUGAUUUCAUUUUAUCUUAAUUGCCUCUUUGGAGAUCCUAUUUCCAAAUACAUUCACAUUCUGAAGUACCAGGGCUUAGGGCUUCAACAUAUGCAUUUGUGGGGGGAGCAUAAUUCAGUCCAUAACACUUGCCCAUUGCUGAG
Molecule: long non-coding RNA, 1255 nt
Filed under: Pan troglodytes (chimpanzee)
Lineage: Eukaryota; Metazoa; Chordata; Mammalia; Primates; Hominidae
Description: lncRNA (ENSPTRG00000053662.1)
Source: RNAcentral